This 717-nucleotide ribosomal RNA is filed under the name Bacillus stratosphericus. RNAcentral describes it as "bacterial SSU rRNA". It matches the Rfam family "Bacterial small subunit ribosomal RNA", at positions 380 to 1088 of the family's 1533-position model. The record is from RNAcentral. Lineage: Bacteria; Bacillati; Bacillota; Bacilli; Caryophanales; Bacillaceae.
AGUCUGACGGAGCAACGCCGCGUGAGUGAUGAAGGUUUUCGGAUCGUAAAGCUCUGUUGUUAGGGAAGAACAAGUGCAAGAGUAACUGCUUGCACCUUGACGGUACCUAACCAGAAAGCCACGGCUAACUACGUGCCAGCAGCCGCGGUAAUACGUAGGUGGCAAGCGUUGUCCGGAAUUAUUGGGCGUAAAGGGCUCGCAGGCGGUUUCUUAAGUCUGAUGUGAAAGCCCCCGGCUCAACCGGGGAGGGUCAUUGGAAACUGGGAAACUUGAGUGCAGAAGAGGAGAGUGGAAUUCCACGUGUAGCGGUGAAAUGCGUAGAGAUGUGGAGGAACACCAGUGGCGAAGGCGACUCUCUGGUCUGUAACUGACGCUGAGGAGCGAAAGCGUGGGGAGCGAACAGGAAUAGAUACCCUGGUAGUCCACGCCGUAAACGAUGAGUGCUAAGUGUUAGGGGGUUUCCGCCCCUUAGUGCUGCAGCUAACGCAUUAAGCACUCCGCCUGGGGAGUACGGUCGCAAGACUGAAACUCAAAGGAAUUGACGGGGGCCCGCACAAGCGGUGGAGCAUGUGGUUUAAUUCGAAGCAACGCGAAGAACCUUACCAGGUCUUGACAUCCUCUGACAACCCUAGAGAUAGGGCUUUCCCUUCGGGGACAGAGUGACAGGUGGUGCAUGGUUGUCGUCAGCUCGUGUCGUGAGAUGUUGGGUUAAGUCCC